Molecule: ribosomal RNA, 371 nt
Filed under: uncultured organism
Description: bacterial SSU rRNA
Rfam family: Bacterial small subunit ribosomal RNA
Source: RNAcentral
CGUAGGGUGCGAGCGUUAAUCGGAAUUACUGGGCGUAAAGCGUGCGCAGGCGGUUUUGUAAGACAGGCGUGAAAUCCCCGGGCUCAACCUGGGAACUGCGCUUGUGACUGCAAGGCUAGAGUACGGCAGAGGGGGUGGAAUUCCACGUGUAGCAGUGAAAUGCGUAGAGAUGUGGAGGAACACCAAUGGCGAAGGCAGCCCCCUGGGUCGAUACUGACGCUCAUGCACGAAAGCGUGGGUAGCAAACAGGAUUAGAUACCCUGGUAGUCCACGCCCUAAACGAUGUCAACUAGGUGUUGGGUGGGUAAAACCAUUUAGUACUGGAGCUAACGCGUGAAGUUGACCGCCUGGGGAGUACGGCCGCAAGGUUA